GCAAGCGUGAGGUGGUAAUGGAGGUAAGGAACCCACUUUCCCAACUGGUAGCUAAAUCUUUUAUUUCCGUUAUAUCCAAACCCGAGUUCGCUGCCCUAAAGCCUGUUCCUUGGCACUGGAGUCGGUCACCUUGCCUGGUUCUUGCCUAGACUGUUCCCAAAGGGAAUAGAAUGACACAUCAAACGGGGGACAUGGGUUUUCCCUUACAGAGCAGGUCUCGUCCAAAUGACUUUUCUCUUUGUUAGUGUGGAUGUGCGAUUAGUGCAGUGGGUCAGAUCUGUAUUAUUUCACAUGCUCCAUGCUGACUGUGCCUGAAUGGUGUUCAAACUCCAUCGUGAAAUAAUUUGAGCUGGUUUCCUGCAGCUUUCCUCCUGGUGUGUUCUCAGGGUGUGCACUGUGCAGUGGGGCUACUGGCACAGAACGGCUCCCGUGUCAGUCAGGAGGUUUGAUGGAACAAGUAAAGGUUUAUUCCAUGCUGAGAAGAGAUGAAAAGAAAACAAUUCGGCUGUGGAGACUAGUUUGGGUAUUUGAUGUAGGUGCCUUCCUAUAUUUCAAGCCCUAAAGAGAUGUAUUUUUUUUAAACAAUUCAUUUUUUCACUAGCAGAGCUAAAUUCCGAUACCCGUACUGUACAUACGCAUACUGGAAAUAUAGCCAGGAUGCCCUGGUUCUAAGCAAUGAAGUUCUCCUGUACCACCCUCUUGGUAUUUGUGUGCAUUUCACCUUGUUUAUCCAUUUACAGAAAGAUGGGCUGAUGAGCUGUAUGAAAUAUCUGAAAUUCAGGUGUUUAACGACUCAAAAUAUUCAGAUAUGAGCAAAGGGGCUGUUUCUGCACUUAGCUGAAUGGCACUUGUAUGUCAAGAUCGCCCCCUGGACUUUCCCUGGAGCAUUGCAACAUAUCUUUCUGUAUUGUUCUACGCAGGCUAUGGUGGUAAAGAUUCGAAUAUGGGUAAGUCUUGGAAAAAGCAUACAUGGGCAGUAGGCUCAGCAUCAGAAGAAACUCGAACCUACGCAUGGAUGUUAUGAGAAAACUAUGCAGAAUUUGGAUAUUGAGUAAAUGUCUUUGGCAUUAUUUUAAUUGAUCAUCUGUGACUAUCUGGAACACUCAAGUGACUUAGCUGUAUAAACAGCAAAAGGGUUUCAUCGGUGAACGAGCCGAUGGUGCAGCGGAGAUGAGGUGUUAACCUGUUGAAUAUUAAGCCUGGAGAAAGUAAACGAAGGCAGAAAGGAACAAUGGCCUUUGGGUCACUGGUAAAGUUGAGGGGUCAUGAUUCCAGGUGGAGAACACAAGACCGGAAAACAACAGCCUUCUAGCGAGACGAGACCGCUCACGGCCCUGGAUCCCUUACUCUCCUGCUUGUUGCGUGUGUGACGAGCAGGGACGGUGUGAGGUAUCUGCUGUAGGUCUCGGACACCAGUGAAGAGACACAGGCAAGAGCAGGGUAUGCAAGAAUAGCCAAUGUCUGUAACCUGGUGCAAAACAUGCAUCGCAGACGUAGCUUGGAUUGCUGCCCUGUACAAUUCACAGCAGCCUGUCAUUGCACCUGUACAUUAUGCAUUUCAAUGCUGUAUACAUCUUCAGAUGUCCUAGUCUGGAUUUCUAGCAGUACCUUUAUGAUUCCUUUUAAUGGUUUUAAGAACUUCACCUAAGUUAUGUUUUGUGAAAUCAACAUAAAAGUCAACUGGCAGGAUAUUUUAAUACCCAGGACACCAAAGCCUCAGGUGUGGUAGAGUUUUUUUUUUUCCAUUUACUGUAGUUCUAACCAGUGACCUGUUUUUCCUGAAUUCAAGAAAAAAAAAGUCUGCACGUAGGCUGAAAUCCUGUUUUUUGACUUUGGCAGCCACAUGGCAGAGUUCCUUCGGUAAUCCCGAAAUACGUGACGCGUAGGCAAGUAUGUUUGUCUUCCCACACGCUGGUGACAGGAGUUACAGAAAUACGGUAAGUGCUUAUCACACUGCAAACAGUUUCAUAUUACGGUUUCUGCUGCACAAGUGAAACUGCAUAUUUACCUUCAGCCCCUACUGCCUUCAAACCCAGCAGUCUCUCCCCGUGCGGCCCCUCUGCGGUUUUACAGAGCAUUGUAUUGGAGAACGUCUUCCACCACAUGUUUAUGUAAUUUGCAUUGUGUUUCGGAGCUGCGUUCUUGUUUCAGUGAUUUCGAAGAACGAGACACAGAUUACAAAUGCAAAGGAGGCCAUUCCGUCCAACAGGCCUGUCCAGAAGGGAGUGUUUACUUGAUCCCAGGAUCCCAUCCAGCUGUUUCUUGAAGGGCACCAGGGUAUCGGCUUCAACAGCAGGGAUGGCUCCUCUAGAGAAGAACUAGACUGAAGGUUUGGAGGUGUUGCCAGAAUGACUUGACCUGAACCAAACUGGACAGCUUUGGUUUCGACUUCACGCCCCCCGAGUGCCCACUCCUGCUCCCGCCUCCGCUCCACUCCCGGCUCUUGUUCUCCUGUGCUGUAUCAGCUGCCGCUU
Lepisosteus oculatus (spotted gar) is the source of this 2474-nucleotide non-coding RNA. The record is from RefSeq and is a predicted model, not a curated record. Lineage: Eukaryota; Metazoa; Chordata; Actinopteri; Semionotiformes; Lepisosteidae.